RNAcentral lists this transfer RNA (91 nucleotides) under Caulobacter sp. NIBR1757. Its description in RNAcentral is "tRNA-Val". The record is from RNAcentral. Lineage: Bacteria; Pseudomonadati; Pseudomonadota; Alphaproteobacteria; Caulobacterales; Caulobacteraceae.
GGCGGCGCGGGUCUCGGCGAUGAUGUCGGCGAAGACGGCGCCGAGGUCCGGCGUCUCGUCGGACAGCAGCUGUUCCAUCAGCGUGUCGUCG